UUAAAUAAGUAUGUAUUAUUUGAAUGUCUAUUAGGAAAAAAUAACAUAGCAACGUAUGACUCCACGUGUAUUACUUCUUAUGACAAGGCUAAGUUAAAAAAAAAAAAAAUUGGGAAAGGGG
Non-coding RNA from Ceratotherium simum simum (southern white rhinoceros), 121 nucleotides. The record is from RefSeq and is a predicted model, not a curated record. Lineage: Eukaryota; Metazoa; Chordata; Mammalia; Perissodactyla; Rhinocerotidae.